CGCCUGUAGUCCUACCUACUCAGGAAGCUGAGAUCAGAGGGGUGAGGUUCGGAGUCAGCCCAAGCAGGAAAGUGUGUGAGGCUCUUCUUGCUACUUAACCACCGAAGAGCCAGCAGUGGUAGUAUGGCUCACACCUGUAAUCCUAGCUACUCAGGAGGCUGAGAUCUGAG
Molecule: long non-coding RNA, 170 nt
Organism: Perognathus longimembris pacificus (Pacific pocket mouse)
Lineage: Eukaryota; Metazoa; Chordata; Mammalia; Rodentia; Heteromyidae
Exons: 3
Source: RefSeq, a predicted model, not a curated record